RNAcentral lists this long non-coding RNA (632 nucleotides) under Homo sapiens (human). Its description in RNAcentral is "HSALNT0263150". The record is from RNAcentral. Lineage: Eukaryota; Metazoa; Chordata; Mammalia; Primates; Hominidae.
UACAGGCCCAGGGGUAGAAAGCCCUCAGAGGUGGUGGGAUGAAGGCCCCAGGAACUCCUGAGACUGGGGCAUGAGUAGGAAAACAUAGGUAGUGUGGGGACUCCACAGCUGCAGAGGACCCCGAAAAGCUGUGGGGAGGUUCCCUCGGACCUUGGCCGUGUCAGGGAGGCGGCUCUGCAGUGCUGCAGGAGAGGUAAAGAGUGGGAGGGUGGUACUGGGGAAUGUGGUGAGGAUGCUCCCUGGGGGCUCUGAGAUGGAGGACAAAGGAAUGGAAAGCAGAAGCCUGCUGAGCAUUGUCAGAAAAAGCAAAAAUUUGGCUGGAAGGCCACAGUGAUAGUGAGGGGGUUUCUGCAGGGGCUGGAACUUGGGAUUUGACUGUGAGUGGUGGGGAAGCCAUGGUGUUCUAAGCUGGGGAGUGACUGAGAUGUCAGUUUAAAAUCACCUCUGGCUGCCCUGGGAGAAGCCAGGGGCCUGGGAAUAAGGGAGUUGGGUGAUUAGUCUCCAGGGAACUGCCAGAGGCCCCAGGGUAGUGCUGGCUGUGUGAAGUGUGUGAUCUGAGCCAGGUGCCUGGGCCAGGUUAUUCUGGGGUACCCUCUGGCAGGCACUGCCUUUCAGUCCACUGCCACUGAGAU